Molecule: RNA transcript, 2599 nt
Organism: Triticum aestivum (bread wheat)
Lineage: Eukaryota; Viridiplantae; Streptophyta; Magnoliopsida; Poales; Poaceae
Gene name: prostaglandin reductase-3
Exons: 18
Source: RefSeq, a predicted model, not a curated record
GGAACAAACCAAACGGACAAGAGAAGCGGAGCGAGGCAUGGCGAGAUUAACGAGAGCGAGGGGCCGCCGCCCGCGCCGCCGCGGCGCCUCGUUCUCGCCGCCUGUCCCCGUCUCGGCAGCUCCGCCGGCCGGGCGGUCCCCUACUCUAGUACCUCCCCGGUCCCCCACCCUCGCCCCACUCCGUGCCUUCCUCGCCUUCUCCGCCGCUAUUCCCAGACAGGACCUCGUCGGCCUCUCCGCUGCGCCGCCGCGAUGAAGCUGGAGCCCGGCAUGUCGGCCCUCGUCACCGGCGGCGGCUCCGGCAUUGGGAAAGCGCUUUGCAUUGCUCUUGCGCACAAGGGUCUAUUUGUGACUGUCGUCGAUUUCUCUGAAGAACACGGAGGACAAGUUGCGUCAUUUGUUCAAAAGGGAAGCAGCCAGAUUCAUGGAGAUUCUAAAGUUCCAUCUGCUAUGUUCAUCAAGUGUGAUGUUACUGAUGCAGAUGCUCUUGCUGCUGCUUUUGGGAAACAUGUAAACUUGUAUGGUGGAUUAGAUGUCUGCAUCAACUGUGCUGGAUUUGUCAACAAAUCCUUAGUUUAUGAUGAUACAUCCAAUGGAACCAAGACAUGGAGGCGUGCUGUAAAUGUGAACCUUGUUGCUGUUAUUGAUGGUACUCGCAUUGCAACUCAAAUGAUGCGUGCACAGAAGAAGCCUGGUGCCAUAAUAAAUAUUGGUUCAGUUGCUGGCUUAUACCCUAUGCACUAUGAACCCAUAUAUAGUGGGACAAAAGGUGGUGUGAUUAUGUUUACAAGAUCACUUGCUCCAUUAAAACGGCACGGCAUUCGUGUCAAUGUGAUCUGCCCUGAGUUUGUCCAAACAAAUAUGGGAGAACAAGUAAACCGCGUAUUAGUAGAUGCGCUUGGUGGGUUUUUGAAGAUGGAGGAUGUUAUUAAUGGUGCAUUUGAGCUUAUAGAAGAUGAGAGCAAGGCUGGUGCCUGCCUUUGGAUAUCUAAAAGGAGAGGCAUGGUGUACUGGCCAACAUCAGAGGAAGAAAAGAAGUAUUUGGUGUAUGCCACAAAGUCAAAAAUGACAGUAACAAAGAAUAGAUUCCCCAGCAUCCAGACACCUGAAUUCUUCGAGAAGAUAACGGUUCACACGCUCAGCCAUAAUUUCCGCAAUGCUACAAGAAUUGAUCGUGUGCGGCUGAGAUUGCCCAUGGAACCACAUAGUGCUCUUGUUAAAAUAAUAUACGCUGGUGUAAAUGCUAGUGACGUGAACUUCACUUCUGGCCGUUAUUUCAGUGGUAAUGCUAAAGAAGCUUCUGCACACCUUCCAUUUGAUGCUGGUUUCGAGGCUGUGGGAAUUGUUGCUUCUGUUGGAGAUUCGGUGAGACAUAUCAAAGUUGGCACUGCUGUGGCCCUUAUGACCUUUGGGGGCUAUGCCGAAUUUACAGUGGUUCCAGCCAAACAUCUUCUUCUGGUGCCAAGACCAGACCCCGAAGUAGUUGCUAUGCUAACAUCAGGAUUGACUGCUUCAAUUUCUCUUGAAAAGUCAGGUCAAAUGACAUCCGGACAAGUUAUUUUAGUUACAGCUGCUGCUGGUGGGACAGGACAGUUUGCUGUUCAGCUCGCUAAACUAGCUGGCAACAAGGUUAUUGCCACAUGUGGUGGCGGGAAUAAAGCUGCACUUCUGGCUUCAUUAGGGGUUGAUCGAGUCAUCAACUACCAACAUGAAAAGAUAAAAGAUGUUCUGAAAAAGGAGUUUCCAAGAGGUGCAGAUAUAGUUUAUGAAUCUGUAGGCGCUGAAAUGUUUGACUUGUGUUUGAAUGCACUUGCUGUCCGUGGACGCCUCAUUGUAAUUGGUAUGAUCUCUCAGUAUCAAGGAAAGGAUGGAUGGAUGCCACGGAAUUACUAUGGAUUGUGUGAGAAGAUUCUUGGAAAGAGCCAAACUGUGGUAUGUGUAUGCAGUAGAACACUGGAACUACUCAGUUUGCAUGCACUGCAAUAUAUUUGCUGCUUAAUAAUUUGGUCAUGAGGAAAUCAAGCAAGUGCAAUAUUACUGAAGUUAAAGCUGAACGAACCACAACACUGGCUGGAUUUUUCCUGAUUCAAUAUGCCGAUCUGUGGCAAAAACACCUUGACAAGCUUUUCGAUCUGCAUGCGUCUGGGAAGUUAAAGGUUUCCCUUGACCCCAAGAAGUUCGUAGGUGUUGCUUCUGUGGCAGACGCAGUAGAACAUCUCCAUUCUGGCAGGAGCGUUGGCAAGGUGGUUGUCUGCAUGGAUCCAGCAUACAGUCAGACCCUGGCUAAGCUAUAGUCUACACAUAUAUGAGCUGCAAUAUCAAGAUCUCAGAGUAUGAUACCUACAGAAAAUGCAGAGUGAUCUGCGAUAAAUGUGUAGGUUACAAGCCUUGAGGUUCUUCCAACUAUUUUCAUGUCUAUCUGGCGAACCAUAUACCACUAUAUUUCUCAGCGCCACAGUGCUGUUAUAUAUGAGCAUGUUUGUUCGUAGCAAUAUACUUGUAGCACGAUGUGAGUAAAUGAAAGAGCAAUCAAGUUGAGAUCCGCUACAUUAACUGGUCCGGGCGAUCAUAUUCUAUUUGAAUAAAGUGUUAUGUUCGA